AUUGAACGCUGGCGGCAGGCCUAACACAUGCAAGUCGAACGAGUGGCGGACGGGUGAGUAAUGUCUGGGAAACUGCCUGAUGGAGGGGGAUAACUACUGGAAAACGUAGCUAAUACCGCAUACCACCAAAUGGGCCCAGAUGGGAUUAGCUAGUUGGUGGGGUAACGGCUCACCAAGGCGACGAUCCCUAGCUGGUCUGAGAGGAUGACCAGCCACACUGGAACUGAGACACGGUCCAGACUCCUACGGGAGGCAGCAGUGGGGAAUAUUGCGCAAUGGGCGCAAGCCUGAUGCAGCCAUGCCGCGUGUAUGAAGAAGGCCUUCGGGUUGUAAAGUACUUUCAUCGGGGAGGCGUUACCCGCAGAAGAAGCACCGGCUAACUCCGUGCCAGCCGCCGCGGUAAUUC
This 406-nucleotide ribosomal RNA is filed under the name uncultured bacterium. RNAcentral's name for it is "partial 16S ribosomal RNA". It matches the Rfam family "Bacterial small subunit ribosomal RNA", at positions 30 to 526 of the family's 1533-position model. The record is from RNAcentral.